This 82-nucleotide transfer RNA is filed under the name Schizothecium vesticola. It matches the Rfam family "tRNA". From Rfam's summary of the family: Transfer RNA (tRNA) molecules are approximately 80 nucleotides in length. Their secondary structure includes four short double-helical elements and three loops (D, anti-codon, and T loops). Further hydrogen bonds mediate the characteristic L-shaped molecular structure. tRNAs have two regions of fundamental functional importance: the anti-codon, which is responsible for specific mRNA codon recognition, and the 3' end, to which the tRNAs corresponding amino acid is attached (by aminoacyl-tRNA synthetases). tRNAs cope with the degeneracy of the genetic code in two manners: having more than one tRNA (with a specific anti-codon) for a particular amino acid; and 'wobble' base-pairing, i.e. permitting non-standard base-pairing at the 3rd anti-codon position. The record is from Rfam by way of RNAcentral. Lineage: Eukaryota; Fungi; Ascomycota; Sordariomycetes; Sordariales; Schizotheciaceae.
GGCGUGGUGGCAGAGUGGUCUAAUGCGCUAGACUUGAAAUCUAGUUCCUUCGGGAGCGCCUGUUCGAACCAGGCCCACGUCG